UACAAGAGAGCAAAAGAGGGUUUCUCUUUGAAACCCUAAACUCACGAAAUUUCAGUAAAUCGAAGGGAAAUCGAGCUAGAAAAUUUGGGGCUUUUACUAAAAUUGUGAUCACCAAGCUUAGAGAAUCAAGAGUUUGACUCUGACAAGCUAGGUAGGAGCUUGGAAAUGAACGGGUCAAAUGGAUACAAGUUCAAGUAUGAAGCUCGCAAGGAUGCAAGAAAUAGUUAUCGAGUGGAUAAUUACAUCGCUACACUUAGCGGCUAUUGAGGCAAGGUAUUUAAAUGGGUCAAUAUAAUGAUCCGAGCCAGGUACGCAUAAUAAAUUAACUCUCAUUUAAACGUAAGGUUUAACGAGAGUUAAUCGGAGUCUAAAAUAGAAUUCGGUUACUUUAAUAGGUAAACCGAAUGUUACGAACGAUGGUCAUUACGUUUGAAAGGUCUAAUCUACUACUUCUAAUAAAGCAAAAUAAGCUUAAGCCACAUGGCAUUAGCUUAAGCCAUUACUUGCCACGUGGCAUUUGCUUAGACCACUUUUUUUGCUUUUUCCGCCAAAACCAUCCUCCUUAGCUUCUUUAAUACGCUUCACUUCACUCCAAAACCCUAAUACCCAUCUCCUGCAUCUGGUUCUUCCUUCUUCAUCGAUUGAUCUUCGAAAAACAUAGAUUUCUUCAUCUUCAAUCGCGAGUGGAAGCAAACAGUCCUUAUUAUGCGGCGUAUAAGGUAUGUAUCCGUGUUUUUAAUUUUCUUUUUGCGGCGUUGUUGGUGUCUGGAAGACCUAGCCGCCGCCUCUUCUUAGGGUUUAAGUGAUUUCUAACUUAUGCAUUCAUCAAUACCUAUAUUCAUUUCUUGAGUGCUUCUGUGAUAUUUUUCAAGAUUUGGUGCUUUUUGAAAGAUGGGAUCCAUCACUGUCUUCUCCAAACAAUUCAACAAAUAUGUAACAAUUCUUCAAAUAUCGAUUCAUGUUUGAUAAUGUCGCUUCCUGUUUGAUGUUCUCUAUCAUAUGUUCAUCUUUAGGUUUUCCUAUUAAAUUCACGUAUUAAAGUAGAUUUUGAGCAAUUAUCAGAGCUGACGUUGUUUGCUGACACUAUUACAAUUCAAAAAUUGGGAGUGAUGAUUUGGCAUACCAGAAAGGUCCUUUAGAGAGCUGAUCAUUCUUCCAAUCGAUUGCAAGCAGAUCAUUCCACUUAUUCUGCAG
Helianthus annuus (common sunflower) is the source of this 1194-nucleotide long non-coding RNA. RefSeq lists it as uncharacterized. The record is from RefSeq and is a predicted model, not a curated record. Lineage: Eukaryota; Viridiplantae; Streptophyta; Magnoliopsida; Asterales; Asteraceae. The transcript is spliced from 6 exons.